UUUGGUGGCGAUAGCGAAGAGGUCACACCCGUUCCCAUACCGAACACGGAAGUUAAGCUCUUCAGCGCCGAUGGUAGUUGGGGGUCUCCCCUGUGAGAGUAGGACGCCGCCAAGC
This 115-nucleotide ribosomal RNA is filed under the name Bacillus pumilus. Lineage: Bacteria; Bacillati; Bacillota; Bacilli; Caryophanales; Bacillaceae. The record is from RNAcentral. RNAcentral also lists the same sequence under 1 other name.